CAGCCGCCGCGGUAAUACAGAGGAUGCAAGCGUUACCCGGAAUGAUUGGGCGUAAAGCGUCUGUAGGUGGCUUUUCAAGUCCGCCGUCAAAUCCCAGGGCUCAACCCUGGACAGGCGGUGGAAACUACCAAGCUGGAGUACGGUAGGGGCAGAGGGAAUUUCCGGUGGAGCGGUGAGAUGCGUUGAGAUCGGAAAGAGCACCAACGGCGAAAGCACUCUGCUGGGCCGACACUGACACUGAGAGACGAAAGCUAGGGGAGCAAAUGGGAUUAGAUACCCCAGUAGUCCCUGUCUCUUAUAC
RNAcentral lists this ribosomal RNA (301 nucleotides) under uncultured bacterium. RNAcentral describes it as "partial 16S ribosomal RNA". It matches the Rfam family "Bacterial small subunit ribosomal RNA", at positions 509 to 807 of the family's 1533-position model. The record is from RNAcentral.